Molecule: ribosomal RNA, 461 nt
Filed under: uncultured Desulfobulbus sp.
Lineage: Bacteria; Pseudomonadati; Thermodesulfobacteriota; Desulfobulbia; Desulfobulbales; Desulfobulbaceae
Description: bacterial SSU rRNA
Rfam family: Bacterial small subunit ribosomal RNA
Source: RNAcentral
ACAAGCGUGGAGUAUGUGGUUUAAUUCGAUGCAACGCGAAGAACCUUACCUGGUCUUGACAUCCCGGAGACCCUUAGGAAACUAGGGGUGCUUCCAUCUGGAAGAAUCUGGAGACAGGUGCUGCAUGGCUGUCGUCAGCUCGUGUCGUGAGAUGUUGGGUUAAGUCCCGCAACGAGCGCAACCCUUGCCUUUAGUUGCCAGCAGUUCGGCUGGGCACUCUAAAGGGACUGCCGGUGUUAAACCGGAGGAAGGUGGGGAUGACGUCAAGUCCUCAUGGCCUUUAUGACCAGGGCUACACACGUACUACAAUGGCCGAUACAAAGGGCAGCGACACUGCGAGGUGAAGCCAAUCCCGUAAAAUCGGUCUCAGUCCGGAUUGGAGUCUGCAACUCGACUCCAUGAAGUUGGAAUCGCUAGUAAUCGUGGAUCAGCAUGCCACGGUGAAUACGUUCCCGGGCCUU